AUGUUACUCCCUCCGUCUGGAAAUACUUGUCAGAGAAAUGGAUAAAAAGGGAUGUAUGUCUAGAUACAUCCAUUUCUCCGACAAGUAUUUCCGGAUGGAGGGAGUAUUCG
Triticum aestivum (bread wheat) is the source of this 110-nucleotide non-coding RNA. The record is from Rfam. NCBI's taxonomy places the organism in Eukaryota, Viridiplantae, Streptophyta, Magnoliopsida, Poales, Poaceae.